RNAcentral lists this unclassified non-coding RNA (320 nucleotides) under plant metagenome. RNAcentral's name for it is "partial contains 5.8S ribosomal RNA, internal transcribed spacer 2, and large subunit ribosomal RNA". The stretch from base 1 to 105 matches the Rfam family "5.8S ribosomal RNA", at positions 50 to 154 of the family's 154-position model. The record is from RNAcentral.
GAAAUGCGAUAAGUAAUGUGAAUUGCAGAAUUCAGUGAAUCAUCGAAUCUUUGAACGCACAUUGCGCCCGCCAGUAUUCUGGCGGGCAUGCCUGUUCGAGCGUCAUUACAACCCUCAGGCCCCCGGGCCUGGCGUUGGGGAUCGGCGGAAGCCCCCUGCGGGCACAACGCCGUCCCCCAAAUACAGUGGCGGUCCCGCCGCAGCUUCGAUUGCGUAGUAGCUAACACCUCGCAACUGGAGAGCGGCGCGGCCACGCCGUAAAACACCCAACUUCUGAAUGUUGACCUCGAAUCAGGUAGGAAUACCCGCUGAACUUAAGC